GACGAACGCUGGCGGCGUGCUUAACACAUGCAAGUCGAACGGAAAGACCCUGCUUUUGUGGGGUGCUCGAGUGGCGAACGGGUGAGUAACAAGUGAGUAACCUGCCCUUGACUUUGGGAUAACUUCAGGAAACUGGGGCUAAUACCGGAUAGGAGCUCCUGCUGCAUGGUGGGGGUUGGAAAGUUUCGGCGGCUGGGGAUGGACUCGCGGCUUAUCAGCUUGUUGGUGGGGUAGUGGCUUACCAAGGCUUUGACGGGUAGCCGGCCUGAGAGGGUGACCGGCCACAGUGGGACUGAGAUACGGCCCAGACUCCUACGGGAGGCAGCAGUGGGGAAUAUUGCACAAUGGGCGGAAGCCUGAUGCAGCAACGCCGCGUGCGGGAUGACGGCCUUCGGGUUGUAAACCGCUUUCGACUGUGACGAAGCGUGAGUGACGGUAAUGGGUAAAGAAGCACCGGCUAACUACGUG
Molecule: ribosomal RNA, 468 nt
Filed under: uncultured bacterium
Lineage: Bacteria
Description: partial 16S ribosomal RNA
Rfam family: Bacterial small subunit ribosomal RNA
Source: RNAcentral